This 1308-nucleotide long non-coding RNA is filed under the name Lonchura striata (white-rumped munia). RNAcentral describes it as "domestica (Bengalese finch) lncRNA (ENSLSDG00000003795.1)". The record is from RNAcentral. Lineage: Eukaryota; Metazoa; Chordata; Aves; Passeriformes; Estrildidae.
CCGAAGGGCACUGGGGACACGGGGACGUCGUGGGGACACCGUGGGGACGCCGUGGGGACACCGUGGGGACACCCCGGGGGCACCGCCAGCACCUCGAACCCCCACACCCCCGAUCUCUGACCCCAAAGCCCCAAUUUCUGACCCCAAAUCCCCAAUUUCUGACCCCAAAUCCUGAAUUUCUGACCCCAAAUCCUGAAUUUCCAGUCCCAAAAUCCCCCCCAGAUUCCCCCAAAAUUCCCAAAUCUCCCCCAAAAUUCCCUCAAAUCUCCCCCAAAAUUCCCAAAUCUCCCCCAAAUUCCCUCAAAUCUCCCCCAAAAUUCCCAAAUUCCCCCCAAAUCUUCCCCAACAAAAUUCCCCAAAACUCCCCAAAAAUCCCCAAAAACUCCCCCCAAAUCUCCCCCAAAAUCCCCAAAUCUCCCUGUUUUGCCCCAAAUCCCCCGUUUUUCCCCAAAUCUCCCCAUUUUGCCCAAAAUCUCCCCGUUUUGCCCAAAAUCCCCCCGUUUUUCCCCAAAUCUCCCCGUUUUGCCCAAAAUCCCCCCAUUUUUCCCCAAAUCUCCCCGUUUUUCCCCAAAAUCUCCCCGUUUUCCCCAAAUCUCCCCGUUUUGCCCAAAAUCGCCCCGUUUUGCCCCAAAUCUCCCUGUUUUGCCCAAAAUCUCCCCGUUUUUCCCCAAAAUCUCCCCGUUUUGCCCAAAAUCCCCCCAUUUUUCCCCAAAAUCUCCCUGUUUUGCCCAAAAUCCCCCCGUUUUGCCCCAAAUCUCCCCAUUUUGCCCCAAAAUCUCCCCGUUUUGCCCCAAAUCUCCCCAUUUUUCCCCAAAAUCUCCCCGUUUUGCCCAAAAUCGCCCCGUUUUGCCCCGGUCCGGCACCGUCUCCCUCCAGGAACUUCUCCAUGAACUCCUGGAGGCUCCCGGGGUCUUUGUAGGGCCGGAACAUCCGCGAGAAGUGGAAGAGCGACACCAGCACGUCCUUGGGGUUCCGCACCGUGUAAAUCACCUGCGGCAUCCAAAAUUCCCCAAAAUUCACCAAAAUCCCCCGAAAUGCCCCGAAAUCACAAACCCCGCCGGGACCCGGGGGCGGCCAGCACGAAAAAUCCCGCAAAAAUCCAAAAUUUCUGACCCCAAAUGCAACAUUUCUGAUCCCAAAAUCCCACAAAAAUCCAAAAUUUCUGACCCAAAAGGUGACAUUUCUGACCCAAAUCCGACAUUUCUGACCCCAAAUCCCAUCAAAACUUCAACAUUUCCCUCCAAAAAUCCCCCAUUUUCCCCCUAAUAAACCCAUUUUUUCCCUGUAAAAAUGUCAUUUUUUCACCAA